UGCGUAGGCGGAUUUAUAAGUCAGUGGUGAAAUCCUACAGCUUAACUGUAGAACUGCCAUUGAUACUGUAGAUCUUGAGUACGGUUGAGGUGGGCGGAAUGUGUCAUGUAGCGGUGAAGUGCUUAGAUAUGACACAGAACACCAAUUGCGAAGGCAGCUCGCUAAACCGUAACUGACGCUGAGGCACGAAAGCGUGGGGAGCGAACAGGAUUAGAUACCCUGGUAGUCC
This 229-nucleotide ribosomal RNA is filed under the name uncultured bacterium. RNAcentral describes it as "partial 16S ribosomal RNA". It matches the Rfam family "Bacterial small subunit ribosomal RNA", at positions 568 to 796 of the family's 1533-position model. The record is from RNAcentral.